Molecule: ribosomal RNA, 254 nt
Filed under: uncultured bacterium
Lineage: Bacteria
Description: partial 16S ribosomal RNA
Rfam family: Bacterial small subunit ribosomal RNA
Source: RNAcentral
UACGUAGGGUGCGAGCGUUGUCCGGAAUUACUGGGCGUAAAGAGCUCGUAGGUGGUUUGUCGCGUCGUCUGUGAAAUUCCGGGGCUUAACUCCGGGCGUGCAGGCGAUACGGGUAUAACUUGAGUACUGUAGGGGAGACUGGAAUUCCUGGUGUAGCGGUGAAAUGCGCAGAUAUCAGGAGGAACACCGAAGGCGAAGGCAGGGCUCUGGGCAGUUACUGACGCUGAGGCGCGAAAGCAUGGGUAGCGAACAGG